Molecule: ribosomal RNA, 719 nt
Filed under: Halomonas sp.
Lineage: Bacteria; Pseudomonadati; Pseudomonadota; Gammaproteobacteria; Oceanospirillales; Halomonadaceae
Description: bacterial SSU rRNA
Rfam family: Bacterial small subunit ribosomal RNA
Source: RNAcentral
GCUCAGAUUGAACGCUGGCGGCAGGCCUAACACAUGCAAGUCGAGCGGUAACAGAUCCAGCUUGCUGGAUGCUGACGAGCGGCGGACGGGUGAGUAAUGCAUAGGAAUCUGCCCGAUAGUGGGGGAUAACCUGGGGAAACCCAGGCUAAUACCGCAUACGUCCUACGGGAGAAAGGGGGCUUCGGCUCCCGCUAUCGGAUGAGCCUAUGUCGGAUUAGCUAGUUGGUGAGGUAAAGGCUCACCAAGGCAACGAUCCGUAGCUGGUCUGAGAGGAUGAUCAGCCACAUCGGGACUGAGACACGGCCCGAACUCCUACGGGAGGCAGCAGUGGGGAAUAUUGGACAAUGGGGGCAACCCUGAUCCAGCCAUGCCGCGUGUGUGAAGAAGGCCCUCGGGUUGUAAAGCACUUUCAGCGAGGAAGAACGCCUAGCGGUUAAUACCCACUAGGAAAGACAUCACUCGCAGAAGAAGCACCGGCUAACUCCGUGCCAGCAGCCGCGGUAAUACGGAGGGUGCAAGCGUUAAUCGGAAUUACUGGGCGUAAAGCGCGCGUAGGUGGCUUGAUAAGCCGGUUGUGAAAGCCCCGGGCUCAACCUGGGAACGGCAUCCGGAACUGUCAAGCUAGAGUGCAGGAGAGGAAGGUAGAAUUCCCGGUGUAGCGGUGAAAUGCGUAGAGAUCGGGAGGAAUACCAGUGGCGAAGGCGGCCUUCUGGACUGAC